GCUGAAAAUGCCAGGAGAGAAUUUGAGAAUGAGGUGGAUUUGUUAAGCAAAAUUCAUCAUCCAAAUAUCAUUUCUCUUGUGGGUUAUAGUGUUCAUGAGGACAUGGGGUUGUCUACGAAUUGAUGCAAAAUAGGUCCCUUGAAGAUCUAUUGCAUGGACCUCAUGGAUCUUCAUUAAGUUGGUAUAUCCGGUUGAAGAUUGCUCUCGACACAGCAAGAGGAUUAGAAUAUCUGCAUGAAUUCUGCAAACCAGCAGUGAUCCAUAGAGAUCUGAAAUCUUCUAAUAUACUUUUGGACUCCAACUUCAAUGCCAAGCUAUCGGAUUUUGGUCUUGCCGUAGCUGAUAGCUCCCAGAACAGGAGCAAACUCAAGCUUUCC
Molecule: unclassified non-coding RNA, 377 nt
Filed under: Hevea brasiliensis (rubber tree)
Lineage: Eukaryota; Viridiplantae; Streptophyta; Magnoliopsida; Malpighiales; Euphorbiaceae
Source: RNAcentral